GUUUAUAUAGUUUAAGGUAAAACAUUACAUUUUCAUUGUAAAAUUAAAAUUUUUUAUUUUUAUAAAUU
RNAcentral lists this transfer RNA (68 nucleotides) under Chrysomya phaonis. RNAcentral's name for it is "tRNA-Glu". It matches the Rfam family "tRNA". From Rfam's summary of the family: Transfer RNA (tRNA) molecules are approximately 80 nucleotides in length. Their secondary structure includes four short double-helical elements and three loops (D, anti-codon, and T loops). The record is from RNAcentral. Lineage: Eukaryota; Metazoa; Arthropoda; Insecta; Diptera; Calliphoridae.